UGAGGAACAUGACCUUCGGCGGGGGAUAGCCGGCCCAACGGCCGGGUAAUACCGCGUACGACCACAUGGGGACAUCCCUGAGUGGUGAAAGCAGCAAUGCGCCGAUGGAGUGCCUCGCGGCCUAUCAGCUAGUUGGUGAGGUAACGGCUCACCAAGGCAACGACGGGUAGCUGGUCUGAGAGGAUGGCCAGCCACAUUGGGACUGAGACCACGGCCCAGACCUCUACGGGGA
RNAcentral lists this ribosomal RNA (232 nucleotides) under uncultured bacterium. RNAcentral describes it as "partial 16S ribosomal RNA". It matches the Rfam family "Bacterial small subunit ribosomal RNA", at positions 118 to 347 of the family's 1533-position model. The record is from RNAcentral.